Molecule: long non-coding RNA, 1993 nt
Organism: Chinchilla lanigera (long-tailed chinchilla)
Lineage: Eukaryota; Metazoa; Chordata; Mammalia; Rodentia; Chinchillidae
Exons: 2
Source: RefSeq, a predicted model, not a curated record
UCAGAGUAAAGAUGGAGCAGUGAGGCUCUCCCAGACCCUGCCCUGCAGAAGCCUUAUGUGGACUGAUAGCCCACAUUAAAACCAGUGUGCUUUAAUACAAAGGUCAGCUCCACUGUUUAUCCACUGCCUGACCUUUGGGCACAUUACGGUGCUGCUAAGCUUCAUUUCCUACCUCUAAAAGGAUAGGGGCGUGCAAGUGUAGUGUAGCUCAGGGGUAGAGCGCUUGCCUAGCAUGUCUGAGGCCAUGGGUUCAAUCCCCAGCACCACAAAAUACAUAAAUACAUAAAAGGAUAAUACCUACUCCACAGACUGUUAGGAAGACAGGUUAACAUGCGUAAAAGCAUUUUGAGAAUAGCACCUGGCACAUAACAAGACCAAAAUGAGUAUGUGCUGCUCUUACAAUGAUGAUGAUUAUGAUAGCCGUGAUAAUCAUGAUGACUACCACUGUCAUAAUAAUUCACUGAGUUCUCUGGCCCAGUGAACUGUGGGAUCACACCUAGGGCCUGUUCCAGCUGUGUCAAUGGCCAUCUGUGUGACCCUGAGAAAAUUACUUCCUCUUUCUUAGCCUCAGGUUUCCUCUUCUUUAAAUAGGAGGGAGAGCUGAGCUACUAUGUUCUCUCAAAGAGUUCUCCAGUUCCGGUCUGUCAACUUGCUGGUAGACUCUGAGAGUUGUCCAGGGAACUAAGGGUUUGAGAGAGAUCUUAGAAGUUUGGCAAUGAAACACUGUUUGUCAAACGCUUAAGACAAACUGCCAAGGAACUUACUCUUUCACCAAAAAAUUUUUUUUUCUUUUUUCUUUUUUGUGGUGCUGGGGAUUGAAACCAGAGCUUUGUGCAUGCAAGGCAAGAGCUCUACCACUGAGUCACAUCCCCAGCCCCCAAUUCACCAGAAUUUCCUGCAAAUGAAUGAGCCCUACUGCUACCAGAGCGUGAAAAUAAUAGUUAACAAGCAGAACGGGGCCUGGUGCAUUGACUCUUUAGGAAGGCUCUGUUCUUAGAAGGGAGAAGAAACCAUGAGCUCAAGACCAAGACACCAGGCUCUGAUCUGAACCCUAGUGGGAUUCAACAGCUAGGGGUGGGUCAGCGCCGGAUGUUUCCGAAGCAGCUAGGCUUAAGGCCCCUGAUUGGCGGAGGCGUUGCUAAGGCAAACAGUGCUGCUUCCUCCCAUUGGCCAGUCAGUUAAGGGCGGAAGGUGGAGCUCUUGCGACAGUGAGGAGGAAGCCUCACCCCCUCUCCUUACCGGGAAAAGGAAGAGGGAGGCGUAACUAGGGCCGGCAUCCCUAGCAGCAGGCAGGCCACUGCACACUUAACACCGGAGGGGCAGCCGUCUGGCUAGUAAGGGACUCUAGCAAGGUUGAUGCCAUCAGGAUAUCUGAAGGUAGCUGGGAGCAGGAAAACUAUCCAUGCUUGUUCUUGGAGGAACAGCCCCACCAAUUGCAGGUACCCCAAGCAAGCCAUCACUGGCGCCCAGGCCAAAGUAUGUAACAUUAGGGUACACGACUGGCUCCCAAUACAGCCUGGUACCUGCAGCCUCUGAGACCCACUUGCUUUUCACUCUAGAGGGACAAGGCUGGAUCCCUGCCACACCCGUGAUUCACACAUCACAUUAACGGUAAGGGACCAUGUACGCUGCAAACUGUCCCAUAUGUCUUCCCAGAAAGUGCACAAGCCCUAACCUGCUGUCAUUAACUCCUGCUGCCCUGCAACGCUAUACAGUCCCUUUAUUCCUGCUUUAUCUUGGAAAGGAGAGGAAAGGAAAAGAGAGCUCUCCUUCAUGAACCACCUUCCCCCACAACCUUCUGACUGAUGAUCAAGUGACAAGGGAUACUGAUACAGUGUCUGGAGCUAUGGCAGAUGGGAGCUAGAUUAGCACCAAAUACCCUCCCGUGAGCCCAGGAAGGGGACGCCGGAGACACCAUCCUCACUCGCAACAGCGUUCCACAGCUCACCUUGGGUUUCUCUCGAUGGGACAAAUAAAAACACCCGCCAGCGUU